This 597-nucleotide ribosomal RNA is filed under the name uncultured archaeon. RNAcentral's name for it is "bacterial SSU rRNA". It matches the Rfam family "Archaeal small subunit ribosomal RNA", at positions 404 to 999 of the family's 1478-position model. The record is from RNAcentral.
GGUCUGUCCACCCGCCUAAAACGUGGGUGUUAGCAAGGGCCGGGCAAGACCGGUGCCAGCCGCCGCGGUAAUACCGGCGGCUCGAGUGGUGGCCGAUAUUAUUGAGUCUAAAGGGUCCGUAGCCGGCUUUGCAAGUCUCUCGGGAAAUCCAGCGGCUUAACCGUUGGGCGUCUGGGGGCUACUACAUUGCUUGGGACUGGGAGAGGCGAGAGGUACUCAGGGGGUAGGAGUGAAAUCCUGUAAUCCUUUGGGGACCACCGGUGGCGAAGGCGUCUCGCCAGAACAGGUCCGACGGUGAGGGACGAAAGCUAGGGGCACGAACCGGAUUAGAUACCCGGGUAGUCCUAGCCGUAAACGAUGCUCGCUAGGUGUCACAACAGUCGUGAACUGUUGUGGUGCCGUAGGGAAGCCGUGAAGCGAGCCACUUGGGAAGUACGACCGCAAGGUUGAAACUUAAAGGAAUUGGCGGGGGAGCACCACAACGGGUGGAGCCUGCGGUUUAAUUGGACUCAACGCCGGGAAGCUUACCGGGAUCGACAGUUGUAUGAAGGCCAGGCUGAAGACCUUGCCGGACUAUCUGAGAGGUGGUGCAUGGCC